RNAcentral lists this ribosomal RNA (497 nucleotides) under uncultured bacterium. Its description in RNAcentral is "partial 16S ribosomal RNA". It matches the Rfam family "Bacterial small subunit ribosomal RNA", at positions 28 to 507 of the family's 1533-position model. The record is from RNAcentral.
GAUGAACGCUGGCGGCGUGCCUAAUACAUGCAAGUCGAGCGAACGGACGAGAAGCUUGCUUCUCUGAUGUUAGCGGCGGACGGGUGAGUAACACGUGGAUAACCUACCUAUAAGACUGGGAUAACUUCGGGAAACCGGAGCUAAUACCGGAUGAUAUUUUGAACCGCAUGGUUCAAAAGUGAAAGACGGUCUUGCUGUCACUUAUAGAUGGAUCCGCGCUGCAUUAGCUAGUUGGUAAGGUAACGGCUUACCAAGGCAACGAUGCAUAGCCGACCUGAGAGGGUGAUCGGCCACCCUGGAACUGAGACACGGUCCAGACUCCUACGGGAGGCAGCAGUAGGGAAUCUUCCGCAAUGGGCGAAAGCCUGACGGAGCAACGCCGCGUGAGUGAUGAAGGUCUUCGGAUCGUAAAACUCUGUUAUUAGGGAAGAACAUAUGUGUAAGUAACUGUGCACAUCUUGACGGUACCUAAUCAGAAAGCCACGGCUAACUACGUG